Molecule: ribosomal RNA, 468 nt
Filed under: uncultured bacterium
Lineage: Bacteria
Description: partial 16S ribosomal RNA
Rfam family: Bacterial small subunit ribosomal RNA
Source: RNAcentral
GACGAACGCUGGCGGCGUGCUUAACACAUGCAAGUCGAACGGAAAGGCCCUGCUUUUGUGGGGUGCUCGAGUGGCGAACGGGUGAGUAACACUUGAGUAACCUGCCCUUGACUUUGGGUUAACUUCAGGAAACUGGGGCUAAUACCGGAUAGGAGCUCCUGCUGCAUGGUGGGGGUUGGAAAGUUUCGGCGGUUGGGGAUGGACUCGCGGCUUAUCAGCUUGUUGGUGGGGUAGUGGAUUACCAAGGCUUUGACGGGUAGCCGGCCUGAGAGGGUGACCGGCCACAUUGGGACUGAGAUACGGCACAGACUCAUACGGGAGGCAGCAGUGGGGAAUAGUGCACAAUGGGCGGAAGCCUGAUGCAGCAAAGCCGCGUGCGGGAUGAAGGCAUUCGGGUUGUAAACCGAUUUCGCCUGCGACGAAGCGUGAGUGACGGUAAUGGGUAAAGAAGCACCGGCUAACUACGUG